This 490-nucleotide ribosomal RNA is filed under the name uncultured bacterium. RNAcentral describes it as "partial 16S ribosomal RNA". It matches the Rfam family "Bacterial small subunit ribosomal RNA", at positions 29 to 507 of the family's 1533-position model. The record is from RNAcentral.
AAUGAACGCUGGCGGCAUGCCUUACACAUGCAAGUCGAACGGCAGCAUGACCUAGCUUGCUAGGUUGAUGGCGAGUGGCGAACGGGUGAGUAAUGCAUCGGAACGUGCCUUUUAGUGGGGGAUAACGUAGCGAAAGUUACGCUAAUACCGCAUAUUCUCUGAGGAGGAAAGCAGGGGACCUUCGGGCCUUGCGCUAGAAGAGCGGCCGAUGUCGGAUUAGCUAGUUGGUGAGGUAAAGGCUCACCAAGGCAACGAUCCGUAGCGGGUCUGAGAGGAUGAUCCGCCACACUGGGACUGAGACACGGCCCAGACUCCUACGGGAGGCAGCAGUGGGGAAUUUUGGACAAUGGGCGCAAGCCUGAUCCAGCCAUGCCGCGUGAGUGAAGAAGGCCUUCGGGUUGUGAAGCUCUUUCGGCUGGGAAGAAAUCGCACCCUCUAAUACAGGGUGUGGAUGACGGUACCAGCAUAAGAAGCACCGGCUAACUACGUG